Molecule: transfer RNA, 63 nt
Filed under: Roburocoris exiguus
Lineage: Eukaryota; Metazoa; Arthropoda; Insecta; Hemiptera; Miridae
Description: tRNA-Tyr
Source: RNAcentral
GAUAAGGUGGCUGAAAAUAGGUUAUAAAUUGUAAAUUUAUAUAUGAGUCGAACUCCUUUAUCA